Mytilus californianus (California mussel) is the source of this 1274-nucleotide long non-coding RNA. RefSeq lists it as uncharacterized. Lineage: Eukaryota; Metazoa; Mollusca; Bivalvia; Mytilida; Mytilidae. The record is from RefSeq and is a predicted model, not a curated record. The transcript has 3 exons.
UUAUCAUCUUUCGUAAUUUAAGUUAUAAAAUCUAAAUUUUAAGUGAUCUAAAAUGUUCAUGACUAACGAGUAUUUUCACUUGUACGAUUUUUCUGUGAAAUGAGUCUAAGAGUAUAUACAUGUAUAUCAGGAUACUGACUGCAUAGUAAAAUAUUUAUGUACCAUUAGUUGCGACUCAUUUUGGUCUUUUAAGUAAGUUUCCUUCCCCUGCAUUACUUGAUCGCUUUUGUAAAAAAUAAACAGCACAACAACAACAGCACUCGACGUCAGUAUUGUACCAAAAAAUGAUAAAAAAUAUUCAAAAAGAAGGCUCAUAAAAUUCAAAUAUUGGACAAGAACUAUAGAAGAUGCAGAGAAAUUAUAAACAGCAGAAAUGAUAGGCAAUUUAAAAUUUGCAGAAGUCAACAAAACCUAAAUGGUGAUCAGACAUCUUGGUUUUCAUGAUCAAUAGGUCAAUACUGAAGAGGAAACUGAAAGUUGAUAUCUAUCUACAUGGUGCGCUAAUUGGAUUAAUGUGAAAUGGAAUGUGUGCUUUCCUGCAAAAAAGAAAUAGGAAAUUUCAUCAUAAUCACAUGAUAAUGGCUAUAAACAAAAUGGAGUUCUAUCAUAGAUGCAGAAAAACACAAUUGUAUAAAUGCAACAACAUAUUAUAUAUAUUCGUCGAAAGAAGGGAGAAAUGAAGAAAAAAAUAGUAUUUUGUUGUUGAAAGGAACACCAGCUUUAUCCACUCAUUUACAUCGCUCCCUCAUAUCAAAUAUACUGAAGAAGAUCUUCGAAGAACAAAUUGCAAAAAUGUUUUCUCUAAGAAUUGAAGGAAAUUGUUUAGUGAAUGGAAUAAUUUAUGUUAUGAACUUUUACGUAGUGAAUUGAAUAACUGUACACAGCAGCUGAAACAGAGGAAAAUUAAAAUUUACAAGAAAAGUGUUUAUUUUAUUAUUUAAUUUGCAAAUAUGAACGCAUUCUUAAGAACUCCACAAAUGGUAUGACAUUCAAAUUGGUUGCUUAUUAAUAAAAUUGAGAAUGGAAAUGGGGAAUGUGUCAAAGAGACAACAACCCGACCAUAAAACAGACAACAACAGAAGGUCACCAACAGGUCUACAAUUGAAACAAUAACAAAGAAAACAGAAUACUUUGCUACAAAAAAUAUUUUAAAAAUCAAAGUUAAAGUCAUAUAAAGUAUGUACAAUACCUUGACCUAAACAGUCAGACUCACUAUAUUGUUUUUGUAUGUCAUGAUAAUUUUGAGUCAAAAAUUUAUUAAAGUUUAAAUAUCA